Molecule: long non-coding RNA, 1132 nt
Organism: Gallus gallus (chicken)
Lineage: Eukaryota; Metazoa; Chordata; Aves; Galliformes; Phasianidae
Exons: 2
Source: RefSeq, a predicted model, not a curated record
GAGCUCAGCGCCGUGGAAGGAGUGACGUCGGCGCGGCCGUGAGAGGGCGGUGGGGGGGAGGGAUGCUUACGGGAGGGCUAUUUUUGGGCUGACCCGGGAGGGGGGCGGGGGGGAGGAAGAAAAAGAAGCCAGGGCCGGGGUUCGUCGCGGUGCCGUGAUCCCGAGGACGGGCUGCGUGCCAAGAGGAUGGGGGGGUGGGGGGUAGUGGUCUUCUUGUCAGCUCCGGAGCUGCGGCACCUAUAGGUGCUCAAGGGAUGGCAGGGGGGUAAGGGGGCCCAUCAGCGGGCACGACGCCCCGGGAGGGUGAAGCGAAGGCCGCUCCUCGCCGAGCUGUCGGCGGCCGGCGACGGACGGGCGCUGCGGGCUGUGCUGCCGAGGGAUCGCUUCCUGGACAGCCGGGUCGGCAUCGCCGCGCUCUCGGUGUCCGCGGGGCGGCACUUCUGCUGAGCUGAAUCGCAGGGAUCGGCCACCCCAGGCUGCCCGUGCCGGGCUCCCGCCGCCGGCCCUGGGUACGGAUGCGGGGAUGCUCCCUCCUCGUGGCACCGCCCCUCCCCAGCGGCCUACGGGCACGCUGCCACCGCCGCAUCUCCUUCCCCAGGACACAUCCGCGUCCACGUCCACGUUCCCCCAUCGCCCAGCUCUGGAUAAGGCCAAAGCCGUGGCGGAGAUCCCUGAAGCGUGCAGGGAGGACUCGGCAUCCUCUGUGCUGUCCCAAACAGGCACUGUGCAGGGGAUUCCACACCUUUCGAAGCACGAAUCUAUGGCUGUGUAGAAAUGUGUAGCCCCCCCCCCCCCCCCCCAAAAAAAAAGGAGCAAGGAGACGAAAAUAGCUUUUGAAAUCGUGGAAGAUUGUAAUAGAAGAUAAUGCCCAAGCAGAGGUCCGUCCUGACCCUGUUUCUUGUUCUGCACAGCUCAAAAGAAACGCACUGUGGGCAGCAGCACAGAAGUAGGGUCAAGCAAGCAAGAAGAGUGAGCCAAGGGGUCCUUGGUCCUCCCCUCCCCCCUCCAUCUGCUGCUCCAUUCAUCUGCAAAGCACAAGGAAUCAGGCAAAUCUCUUGCUAUAAACCAGAUUUGCCUUUGUAAGCUUUGAAAUAAACCUAAGGAUUAAAGUCUAAAGACUUUUUUUUUUUUU